GAUGAACGCUGGCGGCGUGCCUAAUACAUGCAAGUCGAGCGAACAGACGAGGAGCUUGCUCCUCUGACGUUAGCGGCGGACGGGUGAGUAACACGUGGAUAACCUACCUAUAAGACUGGGAUAACUUCGGGAAACCGGAGCUAAUACCGGAUAAUAUAUUGAACCGCAUGGUUCAAUAGUGAAAGACGGUUUUGCUGUCACUUAUAGAUGGAUCCGCGCCGCAUUAGCUAGUUGGUAAGGUAACGGCUUACCAAGGCAACGAUGCGUAGCCGACCUGAGAGGGUGAUCGGCCACACUGGAACUGAGACACGGUCCAGACUCCUACGGGAGGCAGCAGUAGGGAAUCUUCCGCAAUGGGCGAAAGCCUGCCGGAGCAACGCCGCGUGAGUGAUGAAGGUCUUCGGAUCGUAAAACUCUGUUAUUAGGGAAGAACAAUUGUGUAAGUAAAUAUGCACGUCUUGACGGUACCUAAUCAGAAAGCCACGGCUAACUACGUG
Molecule: ribosomal RNA, 497 nt
Filed under: uncultured bacterium
Lineage: Bacteria
Description: partial 16S ribosomal RNA
Rfam family: Bacterial small subunit ribosomal RNA
Source: RNAcentral